UAUGGAAUAUUGCACAAUGGGCGCAAGCCUGAUGCAGCAACGCCGCGUGCGCGAUGAAGGCCUUCGGGUCGUAAAGCGCUUUUCUGGAGGAAGAGCAAGGACGGUACUUCAGGAAGAAGGAUCGGCUAACUACGUGCCAGCAGCCGCGGUAACACGUAGGAUCCGAGCGUUAUCCGAAUUUACUGGGCGUAAAGCGCGUGCAGGCGGUUUGGUAAGUUGGACGUGAAAUCUCCCGGCUCAACUGGGAGGGGUCGUUCAAGACUGCCAGACUAGAGGGCAGUAGAGGGAGGUGGAAUUCCCGGUGUAGUGGUGAAAUGCGUAGAUAUCGGGAGGAGCACCAGUGGCGAAAGCGGCCUCCUGGGCUGCACCUGACGCUCAGACGCGAAAGCUAGGGGAGCGAACGGG
Molecule: ribosomal RNA, 405 nt
Filed under: bacterium
Lineage: Bacteria
Description: partial 16S ribosomal RNA
Rfam family: Bacterial small subunit ribosomal RNA
Source: RNAcentral